GGACGAACGCUGGCGGCGUGCCUAAUACAUGCAAGUCGAGCGGACUGAUUAAGAGCUUGCUCUUAUGACGUUAGCGGCGGACGGGUGAGUAACACGUGGGCAACCUGCCCUGUAGAUCGGGAUAACACCGAGAAAUCGGUGCUAAUACCGGGUAAUAUCUGAGAUCACAUGAUCUUAGGUUAAAAGAUGGCUCCGGCUAUCACUACAGGAUGGGCCCGCGGCGCAUUAGCUAGUUGGUAAGGUAAUGGCUUACCAAGGCGACGAUGCGUAGCCGACCUGAGAGGGUGAUCGGCCACACUGGGACUGAGACACGGCCCAGACUCCUACGGGAGGCAGCAGUAGGGAAUCUUCCGCGAAGGACGAAAGUCUGACGGAGCAACGCCGCGUGAGUGAUGAAGGGUUUCGGCUCGUAAAGCUCUGUUGUUAGGGAAGAAACAGUACCGAACGAACUAGGUCGGUACCUUGACGGUACCUAACCAGAAAGCCACGGCUAACUACGUG
This 501-nucleotide ribosomal RNA is filed under the name uncultured bacterium. Its description in RNAcentral is "partial 16S ribosomal RNA". It matches the Rfam family "Bacterial small subunit ribosomal RNA", at positions 27 to 507 of the family's 1533-position model. The record is from RNAcentral.